GAAGAAAGAAACCUCGUGCUCUACUGUCAUGCACUUUGGCUGCUUUCUGCUGGAACAUUGAAAAGCAGACCAAAAAAGGACGGUAAGCAAAGUUUUUUUUGCUCUGAUCGUUGUUUUCUGUCCUCUCUUUCCCCAUAGAAGCUCACGGAGGUUUCGAUUUUUCCGCCGAGUUCUUCUUGCCCUCGGAUCGUGUAGGAUCCCUAGCUCCUCCUUUGAUUGUUUCCUCAGCUGCGGUGAGUUUUUUUUUGUUUUAAUUUUUUUCUUUGCUGGGAUUUUCUAGUUUGAGUUCUUGCAAUUCGGUGGUUGCUUGGUUGGGUGCUGGGGAAAUUUCAGAUUCUUGGUUUGAAUUUUCCUGGAAAUUUCUUGUUUGCUGUUCUGGGUUUGGUUUGAUUCGCUGAAAGUUUGGGUAUAAAAAGGAGGGAAAAAGGAUACGACAAAGGUUUGUUUAGAUAUGAACCCAGGUUGAAGCAGUGUUCGUAUUGAAUUCCUUUACAUUGGUGUUGAUCGGUAAUCGAACUUCCAAAAAUCUUCAUCUCUGCCGAGAAAAAAAAAGUUUGAAGCUGAUGGGUUUCUCGGAGUGAGAUUUCUGGGCUUUCUAGGGUUUUUCCCAAUUGGGCAAUGGCGGAGUCCGUGGGAGAUGAUAAGGGCAUUCGGAGUUUGAUAGCUGCAAGGAAGUCAUUGAAGCUGAGUUUGGAGAAAUCGAAAACCCUAGCAUCGGCUCUUGAGAAGACUGGACCUAGGUUUGAUGACACUCUGCAAAGAUUGCCUUCCCUUGAAUCUGCAGUACGGCCCAUUCGUGCCAAUAGAGAUGCCCUCAUGGCUGUGAGUGGGCAUAUUAACCGCGCCAUUGGCCCUGCUGCUGCUGUGCUCAAGGUUUUUGAUGCUGUUCAUGGCCUUGAGAAAUCUCUGUUGUCGGAUCCGAAGAACGAUCUCUCUGGUUAUUUAGGGGUAUUGAAGCGUUUACAGGAAGCGUUGAAGUUUCUCGGGGAUAACUGCGGGUUGGCUAUCCAGUGGUUGGAGGAUAUAGUCGAGUACUUGGAAGAUCACAAUGUUGCAGACGAUAAGUUCUUUUCGAAUUUGAAGAAAUCUUUGAAAAGUCUUAGGGAAUUGCGGAACGAUGAGGAGAAAGCUCGGCUUGAUGGUGGGCUUCUGGAUUUGGCUUUAGACAGAUUGGAAAAGGAGUUCCGGAGGCUUUUGACCGAUCAUAGUGUGCCCCUUCCUAUGGCAGCUCCUUCAUCACUCGGUGAACAACCUUGCAUUGCGCCAUCUCCUUUGCCCGUUGCGGUUAUCCAUAAACUGCAGGCAAUCCUUGGAAGGCUCAGAGCCAACAACAGGCUCGACAAGUGCAUUUCGAUAUACGUCGAAGUGAGGAGUGGAAACGUUAGAGCGAGCUUGCAGGCUCUUGAUUUACAUUAUCUAGAAAUCUCGGCUUCUGAGUUCAGUAAUGUGCAGAGCAUUGAAGGGUAUGUAUCUAAGUGGGGUAAACAUUUGGAGUUUGCUGUCAAGCAUUUGUUCGAGGCGGAAUUCAAGCUCUGCAAUGAUGUUUUCGAGAGAAUCUCUAUGGAUGUGUGGAUGAGUUGCUUUGCUAAGAUAGCAGCCCGGGCCGGAAUUCUCGCGUUCCUUCAGUUUGGGAAAACGGUUACAGAGAGCAAGAAAGAUCCGAUCAAACUUCUGAAGCUGUUAGACAUCUUCUCUUCUUUGAAUAAACUCAGAGCAGAUUUCAAUCGGCUUUUCGGUGGAGCAGCAUGUAUCGAGAUCCAAAACUUUACAAGGGAUCUCAUCAAAAGCGCGAUCGAUGGGGCCGCCGAGAUAUUCUGGGAGCUUCGUAUUCAGGUAGAGAUUCAGAAACAGAGCCCGCCUCCCAACGAUGGUGGUAUUCCCAGGUUAAUCAGUUUUGUCACUGAUUACUGCAAUAAGCUUGUGGGGGAUAAGUACAAGUCGACUCUGACUCAGGUUUUGCUUAUACACAAGAGUUGGAAAUCCGAAAAGUUCCAAGAGGCUAUCGUCACAGUCGAAGUUCUAAAGAUAAUCAAAGCCGUGGAGCAGAAUUUGGAGUUAUGGAUGAAAUCGUAUCCAGACCUGACUCUCUGCAAUCUUUUCGCCAUGAACAACCACUGGCAUUUGUACAAGAACUUGAAGGGUACAAAAAUCGGGCAACAAUUAGGAGAAAUCUGGUUAAGGGAGCAUGAACAGUACAAGGACUACUAUGCCACUCUCUUCCUGAGGGACACUUGGGGCAAGCUUCCAAACCACUUAAGCCGAGAAGGUCUUAUACUUUUUUCGGGUGGACAUGCCACUGCACGUGAUCUCGUCAAGAAGAGGCUGAAAGCCUUCAAUGACGCGUUCGAUGAGAUGUACAAGAAGCAUUCCGCUUGGGUCAUACCGGAAAGAGAUUUGCGGGACAGAAUCUGCCAACAGAUAGUUCAGGCCAUAGUUCCAGUCUACAGAAGCUAUAUGCAAAACUAUGGGCCUCUUGUCGAGAAGGACACGAGCUCAAGCAAGUACUCGAGGUACACAGUUCAAGCUCUGGAGGAGAUGCUCUGUUCUGUCUACAUCCCCAAACCUGUUCGAUAUGGAAGCUUCAAAGGAACCCCACCAAGUGGGAAACUCAAGAAUGAUGUAGUAGAUCUCAGACGCACUACCUCUGCAGUUGUCUGAAUAAAAUCCGUCCUGUUCUUGCUCGAGAAGUUGAAACCCGAGAUUGUAACGACCUUUUCAGCAUCAUCUAAAUGCCCGUCAUGGUAGUCGGUACCCCGAUAUCUGUUUCCCCUAAUGCAGAAGCAUUCUCGGGAUAACCAGCUUCAUUGAGGAAGAACAAGAACCCGGAUUAUAUGUACAUAAACGCUGUUCAUUCAGGCAAUGAGAUCUGCGGAAACUUAGUUCAUCAAAUCUAAGAGCAAAGUCAUGAAAUCUAAGGAUCUUCUACUUGGUUGAGGAGAAAUGGUUUGGUUUGAUCUUGUUGCUGCAACUGUUUCCACUUCUCAUUGAGCUUAGAUUAUGAGUUCAAGAAAACCGAGGGAAUGCCGGAUUUGAUCCAUUCGAUGUUGAUGUCCGAAUCUGUUUAUAGCUUCAGAUUCAAUCUGAUGUUAAUAGGCAUCAAAUGCUGUGGAAUCUGAAUCUGAGAUUGAGAUUGAGAUUUUGAUCAAAUGGCAGGGGCCUUUCCUGCUACCUGUUCUUGGGACUUGGUUUUGGAUGAAAAUAUUCUGAGAAACAUAAGAGAUUUUUUUUUUAUAUAUAAAAUUUUUGUGAAAAGAUUUAUAGUUUUCAUACA
Tarenaya hassleriana is the source of this 3271-nucleotide RNA transcript. It is a transcript of the gene named exocyst complex component EXO70A1-like, with no coding region annotated. The record is from RefSeq and is a predicted model, not a curated record. Lineage: Eukaryota; Viridiplantae; Streptophyta; Magnoliopsida; Brassicales; Cleomaceae. The transcript has 2 exons.